RNAcentral lists this ribosomal RNA (467 nucleotides) under uncultured bacterium. RNAcentral describes it as "partial 16S ribosomal RNA". It matches the Rfam family "Bacterial small subunit ribosomal RNA", at positions 28 to 507 of the family's 1533-position model. The record is from RNAcentral.
GACGAACGCUGGCGGCGUGCUUAACACAUGCAAGUCGAACGGAAAGGCCUCUUUCGGGGGGUACUCGAGUGGCGAACGGGUGAGUAACACGUGAGUAACCUGCCCUUGACUUUGGGAUAACUUCAGGAAACUGGGGCUAAUACCGGAUAGGAGCUCCUGCUGCAUGGUGGGGGUUGGAAAGUUUCGGCGGUUGGGGAUGGACUCGCGGCUUAUCAGCUUGUUGGUGGGGUAGUGGCUUACCAAGGCUUUGACGGGUAGCCGGCCUGAGAGGGUGACCGGCGGCAGGGGGUGGGAUAGGCGGCAGAGGCGGGGACGGGAGGGAGAAGGGGGAAAGUUGGAAAAAGGGGGGCGGGUCGAGAGAAGAAGCCCCGUGGGGGGGAGGACCCUGUUGGUGGGGAAGCCCGUUUGCGCCAGUAAAGAAGCUUGGUGGGACGGUAGGGGAUAAAAAAGCCCCGGCUAACUCCGUG